UCGAAUAAAGUUCUAAAUAGAUAAUUGAUUAUGACAAACUUCUAUUUAUAUGUCUUGACCAAAUCUUGUGCCAGCAGUCGCGGCAAUACAAGUAAGACUAGUGUUAUUCAUCUUUAUUAGGUUUAAAGGGUACCUAGACAGUAUUUUUAACUUUUUAAAUAAAGUAUUUACUAGAGUUUUAUGUGAGAGGUAAAUAUUAGUACUAUUGGUGUAGAGAUGAAAUUCUUUGAUACUAAUGGGAUAGAUAACGGCGAAGGCAACCCUCUAUGUACAAACUGACGUUAAGGGACGAAGGCUUGGGGAGCGAAUAGGAUUUGAUACCCUAGUAGUCCAGGCAGAGAAUUAUGAAUGUUAUAUAUAAACGAAAGUGCAAGCAUUCCACGCUCAAGAGUAGAUGCGGCAACGCAGGAACUAAACAUUAGACCGUUUCUGAAACCAGUAGUGAAGUAUGUUAUUUAAUUCGAUAACCCUCGAUAACACCUUACCACAUAGUGUUGCACGGCUGUGCUUCAGUUAAUGUCGUGAGAUUGUGGUUAAAUUCAUAAAAUUAACGGAAACCC
Molecule: ribosomal RNA, 560 nt
Filed under: Bryochiton microscopicus
Lineage: Eukaryota; Fungi; Ascomycota; Dothideomycetes; Pseudoperisporiaceae
Description: SSU rRNA
Rfam family: Bacterial small subunit ribosomal RNA
Source: RNAcentral